UGGGUGAUAACUCAGUUGGUUAAGAGUGCCACUCUGAUACAGUGGAAGUCGUAGGUUCAAAUCCUACUCACCCAA
RNAcentral lists this transfer RNA (75 nucleotides) under Bacteriophage sp. RNAcentral describes it as "tRNA-Ile". It matches the Rfam family "tRNA". Rfam says of the family: Transfer RNA (tRNA) molecules are approximately 80 nucleotides in length. Their secondary structure includes four short double-helical elements and three loops (D, anti-codon, and T loops). The record is from RNAcentral.